UACGUAGGGCGCAAGCGUUGUCCGGAAUUAUUGGGCGUAAAGAGCUCGUAGGCGGUUUGUCGCGUCUGCUGUGAAAACCUAAGGCUCAACCUUGGGCUUGCAGUGGGUACGGGCAGACUAGAGUGCGGUAGGGGUGACUGGAAUUCCUGGUGUAGCGGUGGAAUGCGCAGAUAUCAGGAGGAACACCGAUGGCGAAGGCAGGUCACUGGGCCGCAACUGACGC
This 223-nucleotide ribosomal RNA is filed under the name uncultured bacterium. RNAcentral describes it as "partial 16S ribosomal RNA". It matches the Rfam family "Bacterial small subunit ribosomal RNA", at positions 524 to 746 of the family's 1533-position model. The record is from RNAcentral.